CGUCUCUGGGAAAUUUGAGUUUUUACUCUGAAUGUUGACCGAUACCUCGAUAGAAACGAGUGCUUUGUGUUUAGGUUUGCAUCUGAGGAAGCAGUGAUCAUGCUGUGAAACACUCAGAUGCCACCAAACUGCCAGAUGGACCUUGGGUCUGGACCAUGGGCCUUUUGGAAAAGAGCACACUGGAGUGGAUCCAUCUGUCUCACAAGCAACACAAAACAGGCGCAAGGCUACUGUGUAGGAGGGGGAAGAAGCCGGAGUACCCAUAAAGAAGCCAGGCAGGCACAGAGGGACCAUACAAGAUGGAUUUUUUAAAAUAACUUAAUAACUCCACAGUAUUUUUUGUCAUUAUGUUGUGAAUAGUUUUUUUUUUUUUAAAUCUGAAUGCUCCAUCUGCCUAUCACUUUGCUGCUGGACCACCUGAAUUUCCCCAAUGAGGGACAAUAAGGGAUAUUUCUAUUCUAAUCUAAUUAAACAUCCCUUUUCCAAAGCA
This is a long non-coding RNA of Pundamilia nyererei, 490 nucleotides long. RefSeq lists it as uncharacterized. NCBI's taxonomy places the organism in Eukaryota, Metazoa, Chordata, Actinopteri, Cichliformes, Cichlidae. The transcript is spliced from 3 exons. The record is from RefSeq and is a predicted model, not a curated record.